AUGGUGCGGAUGGCCCGUGCCUUCUCAUCCUUCGACUGCGACAGCGACGGCAAGAUCUCGGCGGCCGAGCUGCGGCUCUACGUGGAGGCGACGCUCGGCGACGGCAUAUCGGCCGAGGACGCCGCGGCGCUCGUGGAGUCGGUGGACGCGGACGGCGACGGGCUGCUCAGCGAGGAGGAGUUCCUGAAGCUGGCGGCCGAGGGGGAGGGGGGAGAAGAGGACCAGAGGCGCAGGGGUCUGAGGGACGCGUUCGGGGUGUACGAGGUGGAGGGGAGAGGGUGCAUCACGCCGGCCAGCCUGAGGCGGGCGCUGAGCCGGCUGGGCGCCAGCCGGGACGUCGGCGACUGCCGCGCCAUGAUCCAGAGGUUCGAUCUCAACGGAGUCGGGGUGCUCACCUUCGACGAGUUCGAGACCAUGAUGGACUCGUAG
This 429-nucleotide ribosomal RNA is filed under the name Triticum aestivum (bread wheat). RNAcentral's name for it is "partial small subunit ribosomal RNA". Lineage: Eukaryota; Viridiplantae; Streptophyta; Magnoliopsida; Poales; Poaceae. The record is from RNAcentral.